Lactuca sativa (garden lettuce) is the source of this 107-nucleotide small nucleolar RNA. The record is from RefSeq and is a predicted model, not a curated record. Lineage: Eukaryota; Viridiplantae; Streptophyta; Magnoliopsida; Asterales; Asteraceae.
AAAUCAUGUUGAGGACAAAUCCUUAACAAUCCUUUGUAACGCUCCCAUGCCUCGUAUAGUGACUCCCCUGGUUGUUGCUCAAAGUUGGCUAUUGCCUUCUUGAGUUU